This 446-nucleotide ribosomal RNA is filed under the name uncultured bacterium. Its description in RNAcentral is "bacterial SSU rRNA". It matches the Rfam family "Bacterial small subunit ribosomal RNA", at positions 330 to 793 of the family's 1533-position model. The record is from RNAcentral.
UCCAGACUCCUACGGGAGGCAGCAGUCGGGAAUAUUGCGCAAUGGAGGGAACUCUGACGCAGUGACGCCGCGUAUAGGAAGAAGGUUUUCGGAUUGUAAACUAUUGUCGUUAGGGAAGAUACAAGACAGUACCUAAGGAGGAAGCCCCGGCUAACUCCGUGCCAGCAGCCGCGGUAAUACGGAGGAUGCGAGCGUUAUCCGGAUUUAUUGGGUUUAAAGGGUGCGUAGGCGGAAUGCCAAGUCAGCGGUAAAAUCGCGGGGCUAAACCUCGCUCCGCCGUUGAAACUGGCGUUCUUGAGUGGGCGAGAAGUAUGCGGAAUGCGUGGUGUAGCGGUGAAAUGCAUAGAUAUCACGCAGAACUCCGAUUGCGAAGGCAGCAUACCGGCGCCCAACUGACGCUGAAGCACGAAAGCGUGGGUAUCGAACAGGAUUAGAUACCCCUGUAA